GAUGAACGCUGGCGGCGUGCUUAACACAUGCAAGUCGAACGAAGCACUUAAGAUUGAUUCUUCGGAUGGCGUCUUUUGUGACUUAGUGGCGGACGGGUGAGUAACGCGUGGGUAACCUGCCUCACACAGGGGGAUAACAGUUAGAAAUGACUGCUAAUACCGCAUAACCCGAUAGGAUCGCAUGAUCCAGACGGAAAAGGUUUAUCGGUGUGAGAUGGACCCGCGUCUGAUUAGCUAGUUGGUGAGGUAACGGCCCACCAAGGCGACGACCAGUAGCCGGCCUGAGAGGGUGAACGGCCACAUUGGGACUGAGACACGGCCCAAACUCCUACGGGAGGCAGCAGUGGGGAAUAUUGCACAAUGGGGGAAACCCUGAUGCAGCGACGCCGCGUGAGUGAAGAAGUAUUUCGGUAUGUAAAGCUCUAUCAGCAGGGAAGAAAAUGACGGUACCUGACUAAGAAGCCCCGGCUAACUACGUGCCAGCCGCCGCAGUAA
RNAcentral lists this ribosomal RNA (495 nucleotides) under uncultured bacterium. Its description in RNAcentral is "partial 16S ribosomal RNA". It matches the Rfam family "Bacterial small subunit ribosomal RNA", at positions 28 to 523 of the family's 1533-position model. The record is from RNAcentral.